UGUGGGUGUGAGCGGAAAGGGAAAAGCGAUGGGCUGCUGAGUGAUGGGUGCCGUGGCAGAGUCCACAGAGCUCUCCGCUUGUCAUUCUGGACUGGGAGUCUUGCUUGAUCCCAAAGGAACAGCACGACGAGGGCUCAGCAGGGCCUCUGCAUCAAUUUAUGAGCCGCCCAGUGGGAAACCUCUCAUCACAACAAGCCUCCUUGGUUGACUGAGCGGCCUGCACCCUCUUACCAUGUGUAUACUGAAUAUACGGGGCACUUAAUUGGGACUUGAUAUAUCAUUUCAUGAAAGCAGUCUUCAGCCAUUUCAUUUAUGACUCCCCAACUGAAAGGGGAUGAGAUGAAGCUGUAGCCAGAGUAUUGAGAACUGCACGAAGCCCUGGAUUCACACUGGGGAUAUGUGAUUGGCCUGACAGUGGCCAUUUUAUCUGUGUGUGUCUGUACACAUGUGCAGAAACAUACAUGUUACAGCUAAAAAAAAUACAACAAUAACUGAUCUGAUGGAACCAAAACUAAACUAAAAAUAAAGGACUGGGUCUUUGUCACUGA
Molecule: long non-coding RNA, 548 nt
Organism: Bubalus bubalis (water buffalo)
Lineage: Eukaryota; Metazoa; Chordata; Mammalia; Artiodactyla; Bovidae
Exons: 3
Source: RefSeq, a predicted model, not a curated record